RNAcentral lists this ribosomal RNA (634 nucleotides) under Escherichia coli. RNAcentral describes it as "partial 23S ribosomal RNA". It matches the Rfam family "Bacterial large subunit ribosomal RNA", at positions 2215 to 2843 of the family's 2925-position model. The record is from RNAcentral. Lineage: Bacteria; Pseudomonadati; Pseudomonadota; Gammaproteobacteria; Enterobacterales; Enterobacteriaceae.
UGAUGUUCUAACGUGGACCCGUAAUCCGGGUUGCGGACAGUGUCUGGUGGGUAGUUUGACUGGGGCGGUCUCCUCCUAAAGAGUAACGGAGGAGCACGAAGGUUGGCUAAUCCUGGUCGGACAUCAGGAGGUUAGUGCAAUGGCAUAAGCCAGCUUGACUGCGAGCGUGACGGCGCGAGCAGGUGCGAAAGCAGGUCAUAGUGAUCCGGUGGUUCUGAAUGGAAGGGCCAUCGCUCAACGGAUAAAAGGUACUCCGGGGAUAACAGGCUGAUACCGCCCAAGAGUUCAUAUCGACGGCGGUGUUUGGCACCUCGAUGUCGGCUCAUCACAUCCUGGGGCUGAAGUAGGUCCCAAGGGUAUGGCUGUUCGCCAUUUAAAGUGGUACGCGAGCUGGGUUUAGAACGUCGUGAGACAGUUCGGUCCCUAUCUGCCGUGGGCGCUGGAGAACUGAGGGGGGCUGCUCCUAGUACGAGAGGACCGGAGUGGACGCAUCACUGGUGUUCGGGUUGUCAUGCCAAUGGCACUGCCCGGUAGCUAAAUGCGGAAGAGAUAAGUGCUGAAAGCAUCUAAGCACGAAACUUGCCCCGAGAUGAGUUCUCCCUGACUCCUUGAGAGUCCUGAAGGAACGUUGAAG